AUGUUCAACUUCCUUUUCCAUUCUCACACAACAGCAGUAGCCAUUUAAAUUUUCCUCUGGCCUUUGACUUAUUAAAAAAACUCGACGCUUUAGAUUUGAUAUAAGCAUAGAUUCACUUUAGACUUUAUUUCCUCUGUAUUCAUAUCCAUCACCAUGAACAGUUUAGGAACCUUAUUCUCCGAAUUAAUGGUGAAAUUUUAUUCUGAUGUGGAUUGGAGGAAUCCACUAUCUAUAAUGUGCUGAAACCUUGAAAGCCAUUUGUUCCAAGGAAGAUCCUGUUGACUGGAGCAUCAUUACACCACACAUACAUGGAAAAAAUGUGGGAAAUUAGUGAAAAUAUACUUCUUCUUGGGAGAGUUUGAUGGCCAGUUUGGAGGAAUCUCUGGAAACCUUUAUGUAAAGUGAUAAAAAGCAGAAUUCCUCAAUAGUUUCGCUAGCGAAUGAACAGGAUUGAUUGCAGAUGGGAAAUGUUAUGAUGCUUCUCAAGCUGAAUCAUCAAAUGGGCAGUGAUGAGACUAGCUAGUACAUACAUCAUAUUAUCUCUUGAGUGUGUAUGUAAGGAUAAUGGAAAGCACUGUCCGAGCCCAUACAUCCAUGUGUAUGCGCCUGGUCGAUCCGGUGCCAGUGAGGCAUUGAUGCUUUACGAGCACUCAGCUCACUUGUAUCCUAUAAAAAUCUGGACCACAACCAAUCUUAUUUACAUUAUGUUAAAGAUUCGUUGAUCCAACUAUAAUCUGAUUAAUAACGUGAUAUUUUGAGAUCAGAUAGCUGAAAGUGAGUGUUCCUUCAAUCAAAACUUAUUACAAUUAAAAGGCCAAAUUUGAGUUGUUGGAUUGUCUAGUCAAAUCAUUAAAUGAUUAAGAUUAAAAUUUCAGAAAGUUACGAAUGAAGUCUAUAUAUUUCUAGAAGUUUUCCAUGUUUUGACGCACCAUUAUGAUUCUUUCAUACCCCCUUUUC
Molecule: long non-coding RNA, 957 nt
Organism: Olea europaea var. sylvestris
Lineage: Eukaryota; Viridiplantae; Streptophyta; Magnoliopsida; Lamiales; Oleaceae
Exons: 3
Source: RefSeq, a predicted model, not a curated record